This 467-nucleotide ribosomal RNA is filed under the name uncultured bacterium. RNAcentral describes it as "partial 16S ribosomal RNA". It matches the Rfam family "Bacterial small subunit ribosomal RNA", at positions 29 to 507 of the family's 1533-position model. The record is from RNAcentral.
ACGAACGCUGGCGGCGUGCUUAACACAUGCAAGUCGCACGGAAAGGCCCUGCUUUUGUGGGGUGCUCGAGUGGCGAACGGGUGAGUAACAUGUGAGUAACCUGCCCUUGACUUUGGGAUAACUUCAGGAAACUGGGGCUAAUACCGGAUAGGAGCUCCUGCUGCAUGGUGGGGGUUGGAAAGUUUCGGCGGUUGGGGAUGGACUCGCGGCUUAUCAGCUUGUUGGUGGGGUAGUGGCUUACCAAGGCUUUGACGGGUAGCCGGCCUGAGAGGGUGACCGGCCACAUUGGGACUGAGAUACGGCCCAGACUCCUACGGGAGGCAGCAGUGGGGAAUAUUGCACAAUGGGCGGAAGCCUGAUGCAGCAACGCCGCGUGCGGGAUGACGGCCUUCGGGUUGUAAACCGCUUUCGCCUGUGACGAAGCGUGAGUGACGGUAAUGGGUAAAGAAGCACCGGCUAACUACGUG